CCAAAUUCACUUGACUUUACUUGGGCCUGAGAUUUAGCCCACGCCAAGCAAAGAACAUCCCUAUCCUCUUUACAGAGUGGGCUCAUAAUCUGGCCCAUUUGCAUUAAUAUCAUUUAAACUAUAACCAAAAUAUAAUCAAACAUCCUGACAUAACUGUUCUUGAAUCCCAGCAUAUGAAUUUUAAAAAAAACUAAUUAGUUACAGUCUUCCAAAAAUAAACAAUAAAUACCUUGCAUUUGGACUUAAUGUAUAAUCUAACUAUAUUUGAAGCUAAAACUAUUACAACUUCCAUUUCAUGAAGGAUCCGAGCUUCUUUUGAACUUGAUUUGUCCACAACAACCUGAUUCCAUUUCCAAGCUUUUAAAACUGCUGAUUUGGCCAAUUAGUAGCCAAAUCCACAUGUAUCAGCUUACAACCAAACAUAUGAAAACAAAGAAAAGGAUUUAGAUAGAAGGAGAAGUUGUCUACUUAACAAAGGCAAGAGAACUGAUUUCAAAACCUCACAAUCAGUCUUAAUGGCUAGAAGAUCUGACUAUGGACGUAAACAAAACUAACUUUGCAAAACUGAAAUUCAUAAGGCAAUCAAAUAUAGACCAGCUUGUUCAUGUUCAAAGUGUAAACUCAUAUAUUCAAGGUUUAACUACAUUUAUGUCACUAUAGGCAAACUACUUUCAUGAAAGGGACAUUCACUUGCAUAAACACCAUUCAUAUUUCUGAACACCAAACAUUACAUGAAGAAGGUGAAGUUCAGUACCUUGCACAACAACAACUAAAAGGUGCAAAAAACUGGCUGAAACUUUAAAAAAAAUGGAGCAGCAGCAGGACAGGAGCAACAGCAACCAAAAACCUCAAAAUUUCAGACCCAAGACUAGCUACUUGAACCUAGAGAUAACCAGCUAGAUAACCCAUAAAAAGUCUCUAUUUCAAACCAUUUUUCAACUUGUGAACCAAAAAAAAAAGAAAGUGUUGGAAAUUUUCUGAGGUUUCCUAAAGCCUGAAAAGGGUACUUUUGCGUAGCCUAAUGCUU
This 1027-nucleotide long non-coding RNA is filed under the name Nicotiana tabacum (common tobacco). Its description in RNAcentral is "long non-coding RNA (NTAB_LNC010846)". Lineage: Eukaryota; Viridiplantae; Streptophyta; Magnoliopsida; Solanales; Solanaceae. The record is from RNAcentral.